Mus musculus (house mouse) is the source of this 1540-nucleotide long non-coding RNA. RefSeq annotates it as predicted gene 9875. NCBI's taxonomy places the organism in Eukaryota, Metazoa, Chordata, Mammalia, Rodentia, Muridae. The record is from RefSeq and is a predicted model, not a curated record. The transcript is spliced from 4 exons.
CAUAUUUCCAUGGAUUUUGGGGGAGUAAAAGUCAAUGUUGUUUCCCCAGGGCCUCUGACCUCAUGAAGAAAUUCACUUGGAUCUCAGGGCAGCCACAUCAUUAUGCAAGCCUUGGAGAAGUAGGAGACCCAGCCUCUCAGUGCUCUGAGCCCCCAGCAGGGAGCUUGGACCAUAACAGAGGGAAAUGCAGAGACAGACACUCUACUAAGAAUGCUAAAGGGACUCCAGCAUCACCGCCCGUCCCCUUGCCGAUGAUGAGCAUACAUCCUACCACAAAGGGGAUGUGUAGGCUGGGGGAGGGGGAACUCAUCAACAGUCUCACCAAGCUACAGAAAACGUGAAUACCACUCUACUGCUCCAACAAACAAGAUACUCUGCAGACAUUCUUCUCUUGCCACUGGAAAAAUAAUAGUGAAAAAAGGAGUGAAAAACUUUCAUCUCUUGGAGCUCCCAUGUCCUGGCAAAGAGGGUGGUGCCCCAACAAGAAAAGUUGAGGAAAAUGCUGUGGAUGUGAGGUGAGCUAUGUCUGAUUUUGCUUAGAAGACUACUUAAGAAACAUGGCAAAGUUUAGGUGGAAAUGUUUAACUCCUAAGUAAAGGUACGCCUAUAGAGUAAAGGUGAAAACAUCCCUAUCAUUAUUGACUAUGUUCAGUGACAUAAAGUACCUACUCUAUGACUGGGCCAAAUGUCUCUAGGGAUAUGGCACCUACAAGCAAGAUAUUGAAUGAUUACCCUGCCUGUUUGGUUUCUAGGACAUUGUAAAUGUCUAGAUGCUAGCCAUGAAUUGGAUGGUUGUAUGCUAACUAUCACCAUGCAAUCAAACAAAAGAGACACUAUCUUCCUGAAAUUGAUGGUCAAGCACAGCUUGAUGGAUGCUAUGGCAAUAUUAAGUUAAAUUCGAUGUACAUAAAGUACCUAUGAUCCCAUAAGAACAAAGAUAAAGCACUUGUAUUACUACCUUCAUUCUCAUGACUUAGGGUUUGCCUUGAUUUUAGCCUCUUUGAUUUUAAUGUGGAUACAUUAAACUUACAUGUGUUUGUAGGAUGCUACAUGAUAUUUAUGUGUCUGUGGGUAUUUUGUUUGUUUGGAUGGAAAACAGGGUCCCAGGGAUCCUUGGCUGUCCUUGAAAUAGCUAUGUAGAAAAAAUUGGCCUCAAACUUCUGAUCUUCCUGGCUCCAGUUUCCAAGUAGUAGGAUUACAGGUUUGCAUCACGUUGUCUGUUUUACCCACCAUCUCAGUUCUAAUAUUCAAGCAGAAGGGUCUGCUACCUGCAGUACUCUUGACAUGACUUCCUGUAGGCAGCUCUUCCAAAACUCGAUAGGCCACUAAGCUCCUGUCCACACGGCUGGCUGCCCUGUCAGCUCAAGUCACCAUGUUAAACUGACAUGGCCAGAGCUUGCAAAUUCCAAAAUCACUCUGUUAAGUACUCUGAUAGUAUUUGUGCCUGACCUACAAAUCAUAUGACCAUUCACUUACUUAUAUACAAACUUGCAUCACAAAUAAGUCCAGAUUUAAAAAUACUUCUGAGAUAGGUUUUCAU